GUGACCCCCCAUGACGGGGGGCUUCCCUAGGAGGCACCCUGGGAUACACCCUGGCUGCAUCCUGGGGGUUUCCAGCUUUCCCUGGUGACCCUGGCUGUACCCUGGGGGUUCCCGGCAUGUCCCCGGUGCCCGCCUGGCCCUGGCAGGGACGUGUCACCCUGCCCCGGGCACAGGGAACAGCACCUGGGGACAGCCACCAGAGCCUCUGGGCAGGCAGAGGUUGGGGAGCAGCUCAAAGAGCACAGCACACCGGCAGUAGGUAGCAAGUCAGUGUUGUUUAUUUUGUUGAAAGCCAAAUAUAAAGAGGAAAGGAAUGAAAUCAUUUCCAGCCUCCAGCUGUCCAGGAAAAUACCUGUUUAUAAAUAAAAAUGGGAGAAAGGGGAGAUGUCCCCAUCCUGCAACCUCAGCUGCCAGUGUCAGGGGCCCUGGGGCUCAGGGCUCCUCACCCUCCCUUCCUGGGCCAGCACUUUUCCAUCCAAUGUGGAAUUUUGCCCAGCCCAGGCACUUCCAAGCAGGAGGAGGGAAAUAAAUGCAGCACUCUGUCCCUGCCAAGAGUCCCCAUGUCCCCCGUGGGGGAAGAGCCAGGCAGGGCCCUCAGAGCUGGGAUAUCCCUGGAGCUGCCCAGAAGGGGCCAGGACAGCACCUGGAGCCAGCUGGGGUGCAGGUGGAGCUGGCCUGGAAGGGACCAGAGAUCCCAAGGACCCUUCUCCAGCCCUUUUCUUCUCAUCCUCCUGCCCCCACAGCUCUCCCUGGCCCAGGCAGGGCUGGCUGGGCUGGGCACUCCCGAGGCUUGGUUUUCCUGCAAAGAUUGGAGACAAACUGCCAUGGUUUGUCAGAGGCCUCAGUGCCUGCCCUCGGCUGUGCCAGGCUGCUCUCAGCGUCCCUGUGUGCCAGAUGGCUCCAAAGGGAUUGAAGAGCUUCCCCAGAGGAUCCAGGAGCUGUCCCUUGGCUGCUGGAGGGCACCAGCAGCUCCUCAGCCUGGUCUGGAGCAGCAGCACAGCCAGAGCUCGGCCUCCAAGGGUGGAGAAACCUCCCGGGGAUGCUGCUGCUCCCAGGAGAGUGCCUGGGAAUGGCACUGCCCGGGAAUGCCAUUAUCGUGGAAUGCCACUGCCUGGGAAUGGCACUGCCCCGGGAGGGCAUUGCCUGGGAAUGGCACUGCCCCCUGGGAAUGCCAUUACCUGGGAAUUCCACUGUCCUGGAUUGGCACUGCUCAGGAAUGCCAUUACCUGGGAUUGGCACUGCCUGGGCACACCCCUGAGUGCCAGCACCCAGUGGCAAAGCCUGGACCCAGCCCUGGCUUUCCCUCACCACCCAGACAGGGAGCACUCCUGGCUUCUGCCCCUUCCCAGCCUCCUCUUGCCCCACUCUGGAUUUUUCCCUUCACCCCCUGGAUUGUCACAUGCCAGCACCGGGGCUGCUCUGUCCCCAGCACAGGUGGCUGUGACAGGGAAGGGAAGGGAAGGGAAGGGAAGGGAAGGGAAGGGAAGGGAAGGGAANNNNNNNNNNNNNNNNNNNNNNNNNNNNNNNNNNNNNNNNNNN
RNAcentral lists this long non-coding RNA (1539 nucleotides) under Zonotrichia albicollis (white-throated sparrow). RNAcentral's name for it is "lncRNA (ENSZALG00000008587.1)". The record is from RNAcentral. Lineage: Eukaryota; Metazoa; Chordata; Aves; Passeriformes; Passerellidae.